Non-coding RNA from Rhinichthys klamathensis goyatoka, 608 nucleotides. Lineage: Eukaryota; Metazoa; Chordata; Actinopteri; Cypriniformes; Leuciscidae. The record is from the annotation of a RefSeq genome assembly.
AUGAUUGAUCUGCAUAUGAAGAACAGAAGCAUCAUUAUGAGAAACUCCACAACAUCAUCCAUGAUCAAAGAGGUCAAAGGUCACCUCAGAGCUGGUCCCACAGUGAAGCCCUCAGUGUCUCUGCUGCCGCCCUCUUCUCUGCAGAUCUCUGGAGACUCAGCCGCACUGCUCUGCCUGCUCAGCUCUUACUCUCCACAGGGGGCGCUGGUGAGCUGGACACUGGACGGGUCAGAGGUCACCGAGGGGGUUCUGACCAGCGCAGAGAGCCAGCAGGACGGCCGCUACAGCCGCAGUAGCGUCCUGACCCUCAGCAAAGCACGCUGGGAAGAGGGAGAGCUGUACGUCUGCAGAGUAACACAUGAUGGAGCUCCUCAUGAGGUCUCGUUCCACAAGAGCUCUGAGUGCUGAUGUUUCUCUCCUGAAGAUGAGCCGUAUCUGAGUGUCCUGUGUCAGGCAGGAUUCACAUGAGUCUAGUGCUGCAGCUGUAGUGCUUUACAACUCCAUACUGAAAGAGUGUGUGUGUGUGUGUGUGUGUGUGUGUGUGUGUGUGUGAUCUUUCAAUCUGCUGUGUUUGCUGCAACAUUCAAUAAAGCUUCUCAACAAGUUCA